This 497-nucleotide ribosomal RNA is filed under the name uncultured bacterium. Its description in RNAcentral is "partial 16S ribosomal RNA". It matches the Rfam family "Bacterial small subunit ribosomal RNA", at positions 28 to 507 of the family's 1533-position model. The record is from RNAcentral.
GAUGAACGCUGGCGGCAUGCCUAACACAUGCAAGUCGAGCGAACGCACGAGAUGUUUUCUUCUCUGGUGUCAGCGGGGGACGGGAGAGUAACACGUGGAUAAACUAACUCUCAGAAUGGGAUACCAUCGGGAGAUCGUAGCUAAUACCGGAUAAUAUUUUGCACCUGAUUGUUCAAGAGUGAAAGUCGGUCUUGCUGACACUUAUAGAUGAAUACGCCCUGCAUGAGCUAGUUGGUAAGGUAAAGGCUUACCAAGGCAACGAGGCAUAGCCGACCUGAGAGGGUGAUCGGCCACACGGGAACUGAGACACGGUCCAGACUCCUACGGUGGGCAGCAGUAGGGAAUCUUCCGCAAUGGGCGAAUGCCUGAUAGAGCAACGUCGCGUGAAGGAUGAAGGACUUCGGAUGGUAAAGCGCUGUUGUUCGGAAAGAAGAAAUGUGUAAUUAACUGGGAAGAUCAUGACGGUACCGAAACAAAAAGCCACGGCUAACUACGUG